GAGGGUAUAACUCAGUGGUAGAAUGUGUGCUUAGCAUGCAAAGGGUCCUGGGUUCAAUCCCCAGUAUCUCUG
This 72-nucleotide transfer RNA is filed under the name Camelus bactrianus (Bactrian camel). It matches the Rfam family "tRNA". Rfam says of the family: Transfer RNA (tRNA) molecules are approximately 80 nucleotides in length. Their secondary structure includes four short double-helical elements and three loops (D, anti-codon, and T loops). RNAcentral also lists the same sequence under 2 other names. The record is from Rfam by way of RNAcentral. Lineage: Eukaryota; Metazoa; Chordata; Mammalia; Artiodactyla; Camelidae.